UUACUAAAAGUGAAACCGCGAAUGGCUCAUUAAAUCAGUUAUGGUUUAUUAGAUCGUCCCAACCACAUGGAUAACUGUGGUAAUUCUAGAGCUAAUACAUGCUGAAACGUCGAAUCGCGAGGUUCGACUGCUUUUAUUAGAACAAAAACUAACUGUUUUUGUGGUGACUCUGGAUAACUUUGUGCCGAUCGCAUGGUCUCGUACCGGCGACGUAUCUUUCAAAUGUCUGCCUUAUCAACUGUCGAUGGUAGGUUAUACGCCUACCAUGGUUGUAACGGGUAACGGAGAAUCAGGGUUCGAUUCCGGAGAGGGAGCCUGAGAAACGGCUACCACAUCCAAGGAAGGCAGCAGGCGCGCAAAUUACCCACUCCCGGCUCGGGGAGGUAGUGACGAUAAAUAACAACGCAGGUCUCAAA
Molecule: ribosomal RNA, 416 nt
Filed under: Chordodes janovyi
Lineage: Eukaryota; Metazoa; Nematomorpha; Gordioida; Chordodea; Chordodidae
Description: SSU rRNA
Rfam family: Eukaryotic small subunit ribosomal RNA
Source: RNAcentral